UUAACUCAAAUUUGUAUGGAGUUGAAACGUUUCCUUUCGUUUGCCGCUAGGGGCGCUGUUCCAACUGCAUACAAAAUUGAGUUA
This is a non-coding RNA of Bombyx mori (domestic silkworm), 84 nucleotides long. NCBI's taxonomy places the organism in Eukaryota, Metazoa, Arthropoda, Insecta, Lepidoptera, Bombycidae. The record is from Rfam.